AACGAACGCUGGCGGCAUGCCUAACACAUGCAAGUCGAACGAGACCUUCGGGUCUAGUGGCGCACGGGUGCGUAACGCGUGGGAACCUGCCCUUAGGUUCGGAAUAACUUCCCGAAAGGGGUGCUAAUACCGGAUAAUGUCUUCGGUCCAAAGAUUUAUCGCCUUUGGAUGGGCCCGCGUUGGAUUAGCUAGUUGGUAGGGUAAAAGCCUACCAAGGCGACGAUCCAUAGCUGGUCUGAGAGGAUGAUCAGCCACACUGGGACUGAGACACGGCCCAGACUCCUACGGGAGGCAGCAGUGGGGAAUAUUGGACAAUGGGCGAAAGCCUGAUCCAGCAAUGCCGCGUGAGUGAUGAAGGCCUUAGGGUUGUAAAGCUCUUUUACCCGGGAUGAUAAUGACAGUACCGGGAGAAUAAGCUCCGGCUAACUCCGUG
RNAcentral lists this ribosomal RNA (433 nucleotides) under uncultured bacterium. Its description in RNAcentral is "partial 16S ribosomal RNA". It matches the Rfam family "Bacterial small subunit ribosomal RNA", at positions 29 to 507 of the family's 1533-position model. The record is from RNAcentral.